Molecule: ribosomal RNA, 252 nt
Filed under: uncultured bacterium
Lineage: Bacteria
Description: partial 16S ribosomal RNA
Rfam family: Bacterial small subunit ribosomal RNA
Source: RNAcentral
UACAGAGGUCUCAAGCGUUGUUCGGAUUCAUUGGGCGUAAAGGGUGCGUAGGUGGCGAGGUAAGUCAGGUGUGAAAUCUCGGAGCUCAACUCCGAAACUGCACUUGAUACUGCCCCGCUCGGGUACUGGAGAGGAGAUUGGAAUUUACGGUGUAGCAGUGAAAUGCGUAGAUAUCGUAAGGAAGACCAGUGGCGAAGGCGAAUCUCUGGACAGUUACUGACACUGAGGCACGAAGGCCAGGGAGCAAACGGG